CGGAAAGAAAACUUGAAUACCAAGAAAGUCACCACACUCUGAGGUUAAGAACAGAAAUAUGGGAAAGGUGGCAACAGAAUAAAUCAAAACAUAGAUUUAAAACGCACGAUGAACUGGCCACGGCAUUGAUGAAUCUUUGGGAGUCGAAACAUGAUCAGCAAUCACUUGGUGAGGAAUGGCAUGAAGUUAUGCAGACUGAAGGAGAAAAAACACCAGAAAAAAAUUACCAGUGUAGCAAAACCCACAAUAUCUACUCCCCUUGAAGACCAGCCACCAGUUUUAUCCAUGUUGCCAGAUGUAUCAGAUAUUUCUGAAGGCUCUGGUUGUCCUUAUGUAUAAACAAGCCAAACCAUUUGAACAACUUUAGAAGAGAACCACCCAUGGAACAUUCAGGCGGAGAAUCAUCAAUUUCCAAAUAAUGGUUUCAGACAGGAAGUCAUUUGAAGUAAAUGUUGAAGGACAUACAAUGGUAAGACAUCACAAUAUCUCACCUUAAGUACGCUGUGCUCUUGUGAGAUAAUGAAGCACAUACAGAAGUAUCACGUCAAGCUCUGAAUUCAACACAGAGAGACAAAUCAACCAAUAUGGUUUAUCUUGUAUACAAUAAGAAUUAGAUACUGUAAAAUCAUUUA
Molecule: long non-coding RNA, 632 nt
Organism: Mercenaria mercenaria
Lineage: Eukaryota; Metazoa; Mollusca; Bivalvia; Venerida; Veneridae
Exons: 3
Source: RefSeq, a predicted model, not a curated record